This 254-nucleotide ribosomal RNA is filed under the name uncultured bacterium. RNAcentral's name for it is "partial 16S ribosomal RNA". It matches the Rfam family "Bacterial small subunit ribosomal RNA", at positions 524 to 776 of the family's 1533-position model. The record is from RNAcentral.
UACGGGGGGAGCAAGCGUUGUUCGGAUUUACUGGGCGUAAAGGGCGCGUAGGCGGUCAGCGCAAGUCAGUUGUGAAAUCUCCGGGCUUAACUCGGAAAGGUCAACUGAUACUGCUCGACUAGAGUGCGGAAGGGGCAACUGGAAUUCUUGGUGUAGCGGUGAAAUGCGUAGAUAUCAAGAGGAACACCUGCGGCGAAGGCGGGUUGCUGGGCCGACACUGACGCUGAUGCGCGAAAGCUAGGGGAGCGAACGGG